CACGUAGGGUGCAAGCGUUGUCCGGAAUCAUUGGGCGUAAAGAGCUCGUAGGCGGCUUAGUAAGUCGGGUGUGAAAACCCCAGGCUCAACCUGGGGACGCCACCCGAUACUGCUAUAGCUAGAGUCCAGUAGGGGAGUGUGGAAUUCCCAGUGUAGCGGUGAAAUGCGCAGAUAUUGGGAGGAACACCGGUGGCGAAGGCGGUGGUCUGGGCCGGCACUGACGCUGAGGAGCGAAAGCGUGGGGAGCAAACAGG
RNAcentral lists this ribosomal RNA (254 nucleotides) under uncultured bacterium. Its description in RNAcentral is "partial 16S ribosomal RNA". It matches the Rfam family "Bacterial small subunit ribosomal RNA", at positions 524 to 776 of the family's 1533-position model. The record is from RNAcentral.